AACGAACGCUGGCGGCAGGCCUAAUACAUGCAAGUCGAGCGCACCUUCGGGUGAGCGGCGGACGGGUGAGUAACGCGUGGGAAUAUGCCCUUCACUACGGAAUAGCCCAGGGAAACUUGGAUUAAUACCGUAUACGCCCUUCGGGGGAAAGAUUUAUCGGUGAAGGAUUAGCCCGCGUUGGAUUAGGUAGUUGGUGGGGUAAUGGCCUACCAAGCCUACGAUCCAUAGCUGGUUUGAGAGGAUGAUCAGCCACACUGGAACUGAGACACGGUCCAGACUCCUACGGGAGGCAGCAGUAGGGAAUCUUAGACAAUGGGGGAAACCCUGAUCUAGCCAUGCCGCGUGUGUGACGAAGGCCCUAGGGUCGUAAAGCACUUUCGCCAGGGAAGAUAAUGACGGUACCUGGUAAAGAAGUCCCGGCUAACUCCGUGCCAGCCGCCGCCGUAACAC
This 450-nucleotide ribosomal RNA is filed under the name uncultured bacterium. RNAcentral describes it as "bacterial SSU rRNA". It matches the Rfam family "Bacterial small subunit ribosomal RNA", at positions 29 to 526 of the family's 1533-position model. The record is from RNAcentral.